This is a non-coding RNA of Caenorhabditis elegans, 21 nucleotides long. The record is from Ensembl. NCBI's taxonomy places the organism in Eukaryota, Metazoa, Nematoda, Chromadorea, Rhabditida, Rhabditidae.
UCCACUCUACCUAGAGACAUC